RNAcentral lists this transfer RNA (73 nucleotides) under Caerostris darwini. Its description in RNAcentral is "tRNA-Tyr". It matches the Rfam family "tRNA". Rfam says of the family: Transfer RNA (tRNA) molecules are approximately 80 nucleotides in length. Their secondary structure includes four short double-helical elements and three loops (D, anti-codon, and T loops). Further hydrogen bonds mediate the characteristic L-shaped molecular structure. tRNAs have two regions of fundamental functional importance: the anti-codon, which is responsible for specific mRNA codon recognition, and the 3' end, to which the tRNAs corresponding amino acid is attached (by aminoacyl-tRNA synthetases). tRNAs cope with the degeneracy of the genetic code in two manners: having more than one tRNA (with a specific anti-codon) for a particular amino acid; and 'wobble' base-pairing, i.e. permitting non-standard base-pairing at the 3rd anti-codon position. The record is from RNAcentral. Lineage: Eukaryota; Metazoa; Arthropoda; Arachnida; Araneae; Araneidae.
CCGUCGAUAGGUCAGUUGGCAGAGCGGUGGACUGUAGAUCCAUAGGUCGCUGGUUCGACUCCGGCUCGACGGA